RNAcentral lists this ribosomal RNA (279 nucleotides) under uncultured Ascomycota. Its description in RNAcentral is "partial 18S ribosomal RNA". It matches the Rfam family "Eukaryotic small subunit ribosomal RNA", at positions 548 to 834 of the family's 1831-position model. The record is from RNAcentral. Lineage: Eukaryota; Fungi; Ascomycota.
UUGGAGGGCAAGUCUGGUGCCAGCAGCCGCGGUAAUUCCAGCUCCAAUAGCGUAUAUUAAAGUUGUUGCAGUUAAAAAGCUCGUAGUUGAACCUUGGGUCUGGCUGGCCGGUCCGCCUCACCGCGAGUACUGGUCCGGCUGGACCUUUCCUUCUGGGGAACCUCAAGGCCUUCACUGGCUGUGGGGGGAACCAGGACUUUUACUGUGAAAAAAUUAGAGUGUUCAAAGCAGGCCUUUGCUCGAAUACAUUAGCAUGGAAUAAUAGAAUAGGACGUGUGG